GGCAGCCGCGGUAAUUCCAGCUCCAAUAGCGUAUAUUAAAGUUGUUGCAGUUAAAAAGCUCGUAGUUGAAUUUCGGGAUCAAGUUGUUGGUCGUGCCUCGGUACGUACUGGUGACAUUGGUUUCUCCCUUCUGAAGAACCUUGAUGUCAUUAAUUUGGUGUCUUGGGGAAUCAGGACUGUUACUUUGAAAAAAUUAGAGUGUUUAAAGCAGGCUCACGCUUGAAUACAUUAGCAUGGAAUAAUGAAAUAGGACGUUUGAUUCUAUUUUGUUGGUUUCUAGGAUCGACGUAAUGAUUAAUAGGGAUAGUUGGGGGCAUUAGUAUUCAAUUGUCAGAGGUGAAAUUCUUGGAUUUAUUGAAGACUAACUACUGCGAAAGCAUUUGCCAAGGAUGUUUUCAUUAAUCAAGAACGAAAGUUAGGGGAUCGAAGACGAUCAGAUACCGUCGUAGUCUUAACCAUAAACUAUGCCGACUAGGGAUCGGAUGAUGUUAAUUUUUUAAUGACUCAUUCGGCGCCUUAC
Molecule: ribosomal RNA, 520 nt
Filed under: uncultured Glomeromycotina
Lineage: Eukaryota; Fungi; Glomeromycota
Description: SSU rRNA
Rfam family: Eukaryotic small subunit ribosomal RNA
Source: RNAcentral